Molecule: non-coding RNA, 47 nt
Organism: Trichomalopsis sarcophagae
Lineage: Eukaryota; Metazoa; Arthropoda; Insecta; Hymenoptera; Pteromalidae
Source: Rfam
UAAUCGGCCCUUUUCAGGGCCACCAAAAAUUUCGAACGUAAAAACAG